UCAGCGGCGGACGGGUGAGUAACACGUGGGUAACCUGCCUGUAAGACUGGGAUAACUCCGGGAAACCGGGGCUAAUACCGGAUGCUUGAUUGAACCGCAUGGUUCAAUCAUAAAAGGUGGCUUUUAGCUACCACUUGCAGAUGGACCCGCGGCGCAUUAGCUAGUUGGUGAGGUAACGGCUCACCAAGGCGACGAUGCGUAGCCGACCUGAGAGGGUGAUCGGCCACACUGGGACUGAGACACGGCCCAGACUCCUACGGGAGGCAGCAGUAGGGAAUCUUCCGCAAUGGACGAAAGUCUGACGGAGCAACGCCGCGUGAGUGAUGAAGGUUUUCGGAUCGUAAAACUCUGUUGUUAGGGAAGAACAAGUACCGUUCGAAUAGGGCGGUACCUUGACGGUACCUAACCAGAAAGCCACGGCUAACUACGUGCCAGCAGCCGCGGUAAUACGUAGGUGGCAAGCGUUGUCCGGA
RNAcentral lists this ribosomal RNA (473 nucleotides) under Bacillus licheniformis. RNAcentral's name for it is "bacterial SSU rRNA". It matches the Rfam family "Bacterial small subunit ribosomal RNA", at positions 92 to 549 of the family's 1533-position model. The record is from RNAcentral. Lineage: Bacteria; Bacillati; Bacillota; Bacilli; Caryophanales; Bacillaceae.